This 201-nucleotide ribosomal RNA is filed under the name uncultured Enterococcaceae bacterium. RNAcentral describes it as "partial 16S ribosomal RNA". It matches the Rfam family "Bacterial small subunit ribosomal RNA", at positions 140 to 334 of the family's 1533-position model. Lineage: Bacteria; Bacillati; Bacillota; Bacilli; Lactobacillales; Enterococcaceae. The record is from RNAcentral.
GGGAUAACACUUGGAAACAGGUGCUAAUACCGCAUAACAGUUUAUGCCGCAUGGCAUAAGAGUGAAAGGCGCUUUCGGGUGUCGCUGAUGGAUGGACCCGCGGUGCAUUAGCUAGUUGGUGAGGUAACGGCUCACCAAGGCCACGAUGCAUAGCCGACCUGAGAGGGUGAUCGGCCACACUGGGACUGAGACACGGUCCAG